UACGUAGGUGGCAAGCGUUGUCCGGAUUUAUUGGGUUUAAAGGGUGCGUAGGCGGCCUAUUAAGUCAGUGCUGAAAUAUCCCGGCUUAACCGGGAGGGUGGCAUUGAUACUGAUGGGCUUGAGUAGAGUCGAGGUAGGCGGAAUUGACGGUGUAGCGGUGAAAUGCUUAGAUAUCGUCAAGAACACCGAUAGUGUAGACAGUUUACUAGACUCAAACUGACGCUGAGGCACGAAAGUGUGGGGAUCAAACAGGAUUAGAAACCCCCGUAGUCC
This 273-nucleotide ribosomal RNA is filed under the name uncultured bacterium. Its description in RNAcentral is "partial 16S ribosomal RNA". It matches the Rfam family "Bacterial small subunit ribosomal RNA", at positions 524 to 796 of the family's 1533-position model. The record is from RNAcentral.